This 64-nucleotide transfer RNA is filed under the name Botrylloides leachii. Its description in RNAcentral is "transfer RNA-Glu". The record is from RNAcentral. Lineage: Eukaryota; Metazoa; Chordata; Ascidiacea; Stolidobranchia; Styelidae.
UUAAGUAUAGUUAAAGGAAAAUAAUAUCAUGUUUUCGUCAUGAAGAUCUUGGAAAGUGCUUAUU